GACGAACGCUGGCGGCGUGCUUAACACAUGCAAGUCGAACGAUGAAGCCGGAGCUUGCUCUGGUGAAUUAGUGGCGAACGGGUGAGUAACACGUGAGUAACCUGCCCUUGACUCUGGGAUAACUGCUAGAAAUGGCAGCUAAUACCGGAUACGACCCUCGGAGGCAUCUCCAGGGGGUGGAAAGAAUUUCGGCCAAGGAUGGACUCGCGGCCUAUCAGCUAGUUGGUGAGGUAAUGGCUCACCAAGGCGACGACGGGUAGCCGGCCUGAGAGGGUGACCGGCCACACUGGGACUGAGACACGGCCCAGACUCCUACGGGAGGCAGCAGUGGGGAAUAUUGCACAAUGGGCGCAAGCCUGAUGCAGCAACGCCGCGUGAGGGAUGACGGCCUUCGGGUUGUAAACCUCUUUUAGUAGGGAAGAAGCGAAAGUGACGGUACCUGCAGAAAAAGCACCGGCUAACUACGUGCCAGCCGCCGCCGUAA
RNAcentral lists this ribosomal RNA (484 nucleotides) under uncultured bacterium. RNAcentral describes it as "partial 16S ribosomal RNA". It matches the Rfam family "Bacterial small subunit ribosomal RNA", at positions 28 to 523 of the family's 1533-position model. The record is from RNAcentral.